Molecule: ribosomal RNA, 406 nt
Filed under: uncultured bacterium
Lineage: Bacteria
Description: partial 16S ribosomal RNA
Rfam family: Bacterial small subunit ribosomal RNA
Source: RNAcentral
AUUGAACGCUGGCGGCAGGCCUAACACAUGCAAGUCGAACGAGUGGCGGACGGGUGAGUAAUGUCUGGGAAACUGCCCGAUGUAGGGGGAUAACUACUGGAAACGGUAGCUAAUACCGCAUACGAUUGGAUAUGCCCAGUUGGGUUUAGCUCGUAGGUGGGGUAAUGGCUCACCUAGGCGACGAUCCCUAGCUUGUCUGAGAGGAUGACCAGUCACAUUGGAACUGAGGCACGGUCCCGACUCGUACGGGAGGCAGCAGUGGGAAAUAUGGCACAAUGGGCGCAAGCCUGAUGAAGCCAUGCGGCGUGUAUGAAGAAAGCCUUCGGGUUGUAAAGUACUUUCAGCGAGGAGGCGUAUCUCGCAGAAGAAGCACCGGCUAACUCCGUGCCAGCAGCCGCGGUAAGUC